RNAcentral lists this ribosomal RNA (497 nucleotides) under uncultured bacterium. RNAcentral describes it as "partial 16S ribosomal RNA". It matches the Rfam family "Bacterial small subunit ribosomal RNA", at positions 28 to 507 of the family's 1533-position model. The record is from RNAcentral.
GAUGAACGCUGGCGGCGUGCCUAAUACAUGCAAGUCGAGCGAACAGACGAGGAGCUUGCUCCUUUGACGUUAGCGGCGGACGGGUGAGUCACACGUGGAUCCCCUACCUAUAUGUCUGGGAUCACUACGGAAAACCGGAUCUAAUACCGGAUAAUAUAUUGAACCGCAUGGUUCAAUAGUGAAUGUCGGUUUUGCUGUCUCUUCUAGAUGGUUCCGCGCCGCAUUAGCUAGUUGGUAAGGUAACGGCUUACCAAGGCUACGAUGCGUAGCCGACCUGAGAGGGUGAUCGGCCACACUGGAACGGAGACACGGUCCAGACUCCUACGGGAGGCAGCAGUAGGGAAUCUGCCGCAAUGGGCGAAAGCCUGACGGAGCAACGCCGCGUGAGUGAUGAAGGUCUUCGGAUCGUAAAACUCUGCUAUUAGGGAAGAACAAAUGUGGAAGUAACUAUGCACGUCUUGACGGUACCUAAUCAGAAAGCCACGGCUAACUACGUG